UAUGACUAUAACCCACAGCAGAACAUGGCAUCUCCAUCCCUGGAAAGGUACAUAGGGCACACAGUGAGAGUGGGAGAAAUCAUCUCCAUCCCCGUUUUGAUCCUAGCACUUCUUCUCAGUGAAUGGUGAAGCAUUUUUAAACUGUCAGGAGAAUUACAAUUGUUUUCCUUCAAUCAUUAUUUGUUACUUGUCUUCUUCAAUUCGGGCAUUAGCUCAAUCCGUGUGUUGCAACUGUCUACUCUGAGUUCUACUUUAACAAUUCUUUGUUCGGGGGCUAAUAUUAGCAGCGAUAUAUUUAGCUGUUUCAACAGUUUGUCUCUCAGAGUGGAAGUGAAAGAGGUGACUCAUUAUUUCUGCUAUUUCUGCUGACUGUACAUUGUUUUUUAUUGUUAUUAAAUGUAAUAUUACCCAAGAGACCCCAGUCCCUGAGACUUGAUUCUAAACAAAGUGGUAGACUGCGUCCUUCCACAGAAUUGACAAGAGAAAACGGUUAAUUACACGCACAAUAUUAUUAUAGAAGUGAAACUAGCUGUGGGGUCAAAACAGUGGAGAAGUUUAGCCUCGCGCUUCAACCUCUUGGUUGCGUUAGAAAUCACACUGACCUUCUCUUCCUUUCUGAUUGCAUGGGAAAACACUGCAUGGGAAACAACUGACAGCAGAUGGGAAGGAAGUCACCUGACACACAUCUGACGCCCCAUUUAUACCUGGAGCUACAGUAAUAUGCGUCCUGUGUCCUGAUCUUGUCCACAUUCUCAUUUUUUAAAUUAGGACUUUUUAAAAACUUUUUUGUAUUCAUUCGAGCAUGGAAUUAAAUGAAGUAUAUUUUUGCAUCUCAGCCACAUCGUAACUUUACAUCACCCCAUCAUGGAGACUCGCUGCAUUUAAGGCUGUCCUGUGUCUCAGGUAUUAGGGCCUGGUCCGAGUGGAGCAGUAUGUCCUGUGUCUCAGGGAUUAGGGCCUGGUCCGAGUGGAGCAGUAUGUCCUGCGUCUCAGGGAUUAGGGUCUGGUCCGAGUGGAGCAGUAUGUCCUGCGUCUCAGGGAUUAGGGCCUGGUCUGGGGGAGCAGUAUGUCCUAUGUCUCAGGGAUUAGGGCCUGGUCCGGGUGGAGCAGCAUGUCCUGCGUCUCAGGGGUUAGGGCCUGGCCCACGGGGAGCAGUAUGUCCUGCGUCUCAGGGAUUAGGGCCUGGUCUGGGGGAGCAGUAUGUCCUAUGUCUCAGGGAUUAGGGCCUGGUCCGGGUGGAGCAGCAUGUCCUGCGUCUCAGGGGUUAGGGCCUGGCCCGGGGGAGCAGUAUGUCCUACGUCUCAGGGAUUAGGGCCUGGUCCGGGGGGAGCAGUAUGUCCUGCGUCUCAGGGAUUAGGGCCUGGUCUGGGUGGAGCAGUAUGUCCUGCGUCUCAGGGAUUAGGGCCUGGUCCGGGG
Molecule: long non-coding RNA, 1416 nt
Organism: Oncorhynchus tshawytscha (Chinook salmon)
Lineage: Eukaryota; Metazoa; Chordata; Actinopteri; Salmoniformes; Salmonidae
Source: Ensembl